This is a long non-coding RNA of Lynx canadensis (Canada lynx), 110 nucleotides long. RefSeq lists it as uncharacterized. The transcript has 3 exons. The record is from RefSeq and is a predicted model, not a curated record. NCBI's taxonomy places the organism in Eukaryota, Metazoa, Chordata, Mammalia, Carnivora, Felidae.
UUGCUUCUUCUUAGAUUGUUCCCUUUAUAAUUAUAUAGUGUCCUUCUUUCCCUCAGGUUACAGUCUUUGUUUUAAAGUCUAUCUUUUUCAGGGCGCCUGGGUGGCGCAGU